GAACGUUCCAUCAGAGCUUCCAUCUGUCUGCUGCUCGGUGUGUGGGAUGUCGGAGGCCACCUGAACGCAGCACGGACUCACCUGCCUCCCCAGGUGAGCUGAAUGAGUGUGACGAGCUGCUGGAGGUGCAGCUGUGAUAUAAAAGCAGAGCAGCUGCAGCUCCAGCUCACAGCUUCUGUCUGCAGCAGCCUCCUCACUGCUGAUCAACCUGCUGGAGCUGAACUCUGUGGCCUCGGCUUCUUCUCACAGCUGGACAUGCUGCUGGAAUCUGUUCUCAGGGUCUCCUGGAUCUGCUUCCUGCUCCUCAGCUCUGGAGCUUGUUACCCUUUUCUAAUUAAAGGUCAAACAGGUUCUGGAGGAGCUGGUGGAGGAACUGGAGGAGGAGCUGGCUCUGGUGGCUCUGGGGGAUCUGGUGGUUCAGGAGGCUCUGGUUUCUUCAGCAGUUCUUUGCCCUUUGGAUUUGCAGGAUUUACUCCUUUGAUUAACUACCCACAGGGGUUCUCCUACGAUAUAAAUGACUUGAGACCAAGGUUUGUCCGUCUCCCAGACCCCUCAGUCUGGAUCCCUGAUAACAUUCCCACCGACCCCUUCCCAUUGGUUGUUCGUGGUCCUACGUCCUACAUCGUCCAGUCCAGUAAUGGCUACCAGCGAGCCAGAGAACUCCUCUCCCACUCUAAAUACUCCCCAGAUGACUUUGGCCCGUUUUUCUCUCCGGUGAACCCGGGAGAUCCCAGCCAAGGACCUGGAACAGGAACUGGAACCAAGGUCUAAGGAGGUGGAACUGAUCAGCAGAACCUCCAAGAAACUACAAAGUGAUCUUUAAUAAACCUAAAGUAAACCAUGAAUCUGAGUUUGU
This is a long non-coding RNA of Amphiprion ocellaris (clown anemonefish), 856 nucleotides long. The record is from Ensembl. NCBI's taxonomy places the organism in Eukaryota, Metazoa, Chordata, Actinopteri, Pomacentridae.